CUGGCCACCGGUGGACUCGCCCGAGCCGGAUAGAUGUCUCCAGUGUCAGUAGCGCGCGGUCCGCCAUGGAUGCCGGGUGUCUGCCGUACUCGGUUAUCGGUAGCCUAGUCCUGGUUUCCUCCCUGGAGAUUCUUCUGGUGGCGCUCGCUCCUCUCUUGUUGGACCUCGACUAGCUCUCUUCUAGGUGGAAUUAUCGAUUUGAUGUGCACAGUGGAUUUGAGAUGGAAGGAGGGUUUAUCUUUAUCACAGUUGUCUGUGGACUGGUCGUCUUCUCCACCAUGGAGAUAUUCAUCAUCGUGUUGGCUCCCCUGGUUUUUGACAUAGACACUCAUGCUCUCUACUGUGACUUCAUCACGAGGUGAAUUGACAGACCUGACAAUUGUGAGUUCAUAAUGAAGUGCUUCCUUACAUGAUACGAGCUCCACCUUAGUUAUAAUUGAAACUAUAUUAAAAUAACUUCAAUUGAUCACUUUGUUAGUGACUUAACUUGUAGAGUACUAAAGUUAACUCAGAAUAAUUUUUUGAAAUGUACAGUAGUUAUGUUUGCUAUCUAUGCGCAAAAACUAACAUGUACUUAUGUAUGUUAUGUAAUGUAGAGUUCUCCAAAUAGUGGUACUAUUUGUUAGUCAGUUAGUUAGAUAAAUUAGUUAGAAAAAGAACAGCCAAGUAAUAUACUGAUGAAUGAAUGUGUUUGCUAUACAAAGUUAAAACAAAGCUGGAACUUAAAAAAAACCUCGAACUUAAGAGUUAAAAUGUUACUGUUAAAUGUUACUUACAUAGUAAUGUGAAAUAUAAUGUUAAAUAGAAAAAAAUUGAAUGAAUGUGUUAACAAUACAAUGUUAUAACAGCAUUGGGACUUAUGAAAAACCUCGAUCUUAACAGGCAACAUGGGCAUGUUACAGUACUGUGAAAUAUAAUGAUAAAAUAGAAGAAGGGAGGACAUUAUCAAGAAAGUUUUAUUAACAUAUUUAUGAAACAAGCUGCUUGUAUAAUAUUUCCUCCAUCUUCCAAAUGUAGUUCCCAAAAGUGUCUACGAAACAUCAUUAAGUUACUUUUAAUAUUUGUGUGUACAGUUAAGAAAUAACAUUAUAAGUUAUUGUUUAUCUCUUAUUACUAAGAAUUCUAUAAACAGUAAAAGAUAUUUAAUUUACUUACACAAAUAGGUAAUCUUAAUUAUCUGUGAGGAAAGGGCUGUAACUAGUCAGCCUGUUGAUGGACGUGUAUAACACUUAUUUUAAUAUUUAUAACCAUUGGUAUCAAUGUCAAUGUCACGUUGGUGAAUGUGAAAGAGCUGCUUGCCUGUUAUAUGUAUAAUUUGUUAAUGAUAACAAUCUGUGAUAUUAAAACUAUAUACACUGCCUCUGAUUAAAAAAUGUCAAUACUAUAUCUCUACUAAAUAUAAUUCUUAAUAUCUGUAACUAUUUAUUUUAAUUUGGUUACCUUAUAAUUAAAUGAAAUAAUUCCGAUAGGUACUAGUUGAUGGGAGUGUGUUUUAACACUUUUAAGGAUCUAUUGUAUGGGUAUGUGCAUACAGGGCAAAAUGUUAGCACACAUGUGGGCAUUCCACAACUUACAGUUGAGUUGAGUGACACUGAUCAACAAUUCAACACAUUUGCUGAAAUAUUCAUUGUUUUUAUUUUUGUACAAUUGCUUUUUAAGGAUCACACACAUGGAAGUUAAUUUCUGUGAGAACUAUGACAUUGAACAUUUUGACCUUUCGAUUGUAAUAGGAUAUUAUGCAAGCCAAGAAGAACAAGUAUUUCAAGUGAAAUCUAGGAAAUUGAGUUUUUGUUUACAUGACUCUGGUCAAUCUGAGAAAAAUGGUUUGGUUUUAAAAUGUUAAGUAAGGGUCAUGGACAUUUUCAUAGAAAUGUUUUCAAUAAAAUAAUUUACAAGGUCUAAGUCCAAGAAACAAUGAGCAUACUAAGGUUGAUUAGGUUACACAAAGAACACAGCUCUGGCUUUAUUAAGCUGUGGAAACAAGCAAGGUUGAGUUGUAGUAGUUUGUAGUAGUAUUGUUAUUACACAACAAAAUAAUCAAUAAAUUAUUUAGGAUUUGAUGAAAA
This 2066-nucleotide long non-coding RNA is filed under the name Homalodisca vitripennis (glassy-winged sharpshooter). RNAcentral's name for it is "uncharacterized LOC124357348". The record is from RNAcentral. Lineage: Eukaryota; Metazoa; Arthropoda; Insecta; Hemiptera; Cicadellidae.